UUAAUACUCCCUCCGUUCGGAAUUACUCGUCCAAGAAAUGAAUGUAUCUAGAUGUACUUUAGUUGUAGAUACAUCCAUUUUUAUCCAUUUUUGUGACAAGUAAUACCGAACGGAGGGAGUACAUG
Molecule: non-coding RNA, 125 nt
Organism: Triticum aestivum (bread wheat)
Lineage: Eukaryota; Viridiplantae; Streptophyta; Magnoliopsida; Poales; Poaceae
Source: Rfam